Molecule: ribosomal RNA, 253 nt
Filed under: uncultured bacterium
Lineage: Bacteria
Description: partial 16S ribosomal RNA
Rfam family: Bacterial small subunit ribosomal RNA
Source: RNAcentral
UACGUAGGCGGCAAGCGUUGUCCGGAUUUAUUGGGUUUAAAGGGUGCGUAGGCGGUCUUCUAAGUCAGUUGUGAAAUACUUCAGCUUAACUGGAGAGGUGCAAUUGAUACUGGAAGACUUGAGUACUGAUGAGGUAGGCGGAAUGGACGGUGUAGCGGUGAAAUGCUUAGAUAUCGUCCAGAACACCGAUAGCGAAGGCAGCUUACUAAGGAGUAACUGACGCUGAGGCACGAAAGUGUGGGGAUCAAACAGG